CACGCGUUUCUUGUUUCUAGUCACUCCCAUGUAUAAAUAAUGCAGUUGCCAUCAGAGGUCAUUCAUCACCAAAUACACUGUUGGGAGGUCUUGGUUUCUUCUUCUAAUUUUUUCCUUCUAAAACGUUUUCUAAACCUUUUUUUUAUUGUUUACAUUUUUGCUUUUAAUUCCACUGACAACAAAAGAGACAGCAUUGUUCUUUGAGAAUGCUGUGGUGACCAAGUGCCGAGGAACAGAAAGUAUCCCUCAAGAAAAGAGGUUUCUCAAAGAUGCAGUUAUUGGGAAUCAUGAGAUGCGGCUCCACACUCCUGUUGGUCUUAUUUCUGGCAAACUUAGCAGCUAGAAGUCAUGCCCAAGCUGCUAAAGAUUUCAAAGAUGUGGAAAGCACUACAGUUGAUCUUCCACAAGUGGCUACUGUACAGUGCAAAGGCGAUUGUAUAAAAGAGGCAGAGGAUUCUGACAUUCCAAAGCAGUUUCGUUCUGACAUACCAAUUACAGAUGAUGAAGAUGGUGGACAGAAGACACAGCAACACACUACUGAGGAGGACCAGUUUACAGACUUCUGCAGGUCUCCUCCAGUUGUUCCAUUUGCAGAUCUCAAAGAUGAUUUUUUGAUGUACACAGUUUUCACAAAGGGUGCCAUUGUCAGUUACAAAUGCAAAAACGGCUAUGAAUAUGUACCCGGAACUAAGGAAACUGUAAUGUGUAUGGGUGAUGGAAAUUGGUCUGCUCCUGAUACAUUUUGUAAAGUGAAUUUCUGCGGUCCUCCCCCACGACUUGAAUAUGGGCUACCUAAGGAUGAGUACUUGGAAAGAACUACAUUUCCUAAAAAUACCAAAAUUAUGUUUGUUUGCCGGCCUGGUUAUAUCCGUAUUCCUUAUACAAGAGCAACUGCAACAUGCUUGCCUAAUUUGACGUGGUCCCUCCCUACAAAAUUUUGUCAACCUAAAUCCUGUGGUAACCCUGGAGAUGUGGAUAAUGGUGAAAUGCAAGCUGAGAACUUUGUCUUUGGAUCCAGAGUAACAUAUAGUUGCAAUCCUGGAUAUAAGAUGAUAUCAAAAAGGAAUUACAGAGACUGCCUAGCAGAUGGAAGUUGGAGUAAUGAUAUCCCUGAAUGUGCAGUGCAAGCAUGUCCUCCACCACCAGAUACUGCAAAUGGACAUUAUUAUCCAGAAAGAGAGGAGUAUACCUAUCUUGAUUCUGUUAAAUAUGUAUGCAGUGGAAAUCUAGCCCUUAUAGGUCAACAGAGCAUUUCCUGUACAGAGGAAGGACAGUGGAGUUCUCAAGCCCCAGAAUGCAGAGCUGUUCAGUGUACUGAUCCAAAUGUGGACAACGCAUACAAAGUUUCAGGAUUUAUAGGCCCAUACAUCAUGAACACUGUUGUGAGAUUUAGGUGCGGGUCACAAUAUAAAAUGAUUGGAUCUGAUACUGUGAAAUGUAAUGAAAGUAGUAAAUGGGAACCUGAACUGCCAAAGUGUGUUGGUACUUGUCGAUCUGUUCCUCGCUACCAAUAUGCAGAACUAGUGGAACCGACUGCUGAAUUAAUUUUCCUUGAAGGAACAAUAUUGAAGUACAGAUGUAAGGAAGGCUACGAACCUAUUCCUGGUGCAGUAAAUACAGUCACGUGUUUAGGACUGCGCUGGUCUUCUUCUCCUGAGUUCUGUAAACCAAUAAGAUGUGUAGAACCUGAAAAUGUGCCUCAUGGAAGAAUUACUUCUGGCAAUUUCGUAUAUGGCAGUCGUAUAACAUAUGCCUGUGAUACUGGGUAUAAAAUUAAAAACGUCAACAACAGAAAUUGUCUGGCAGACCAAUCUUGGAGUUUGCCCAUUCCGGAAUGUGAAGUUCAAACGUGUGCUAUACCUGAAAAUGUGAAGAAUGGGUGGUAUAGUCCUGUAAUAGAGCAAUAUGUUUACAAUGAGGCUGUAACAUAUAACUGUCAUGAAGGAUUUCAACUUCUUGGUCAAGCUUUAAUUAUCUGCCGCAGUGAUGGAAGAUGGAAUCAUAAUACCCCAGAGUGCAGAGGCAUUUGUAAUGCUCCUCCCGACCUUCCUUAUGCUCAAGUGCAAUUCCCGUAUCCGAAAAUGAAAACUUUCUUUACUGGCACAACCGUUCAGUACACGUGUAGACCUGGAUAUUAUCGGGAUCACAGCUUCUCAAAUUCUAUAACUUGUUUGGGAAACUUCACAUGGUCAAAAAUAUCUGAGUUCUGUAAAAUUCGCACAUGUUCUACCCCUGAAAAUGUUAAGAAUGGUUGGUAUGGUCCUGAAAUGGAAAAAUACACUUACAAUAACACAGUAACAUAUGAGUGUUUUGAAGGAUUUGAGCUUGUUGGUCAAUCUUCAAUUACCUGUCUCGAGAAUGGAAGAUGGAAUUAUAAUAAACCAGUGUGCAGAAGGAUAUCUUGUGGAUCCUCCUCCAAAAGUAAAGAAUGCAGUAUUUGAGGCAAAAGACUUUUUAUUUGAAUCAGAAGCAGUUUAUAAAUCUGAAAAAGGGUACAAAAUUGUUUCCCUGAGUAAUUCUGUCAAGUGCGGAUUAAAUGGAAGUUGGGAGGGUAUUUUGCCAGUAUUUGAAG
Molecule: RNA transcript, 2572 nt
Organism: Bufo gargarizans (Asiatic toad)
Lineage: Eukaryota; Metazoa; Chordata; Amphibia; Anura; Bufonidae
Gene name: complement receptor type 1-like
Exons: 19
Source: RefSeq, a predicted model, not a curated record